This 465-nucleotide ribosomal RNA is filed under the name Vreelandella stevensii. RNAcentral describes it as "partial 16S ribosomal RNA". It matches the Rfam family "Bacterial small subunit ribosomal RNA", at positions 338 to 795 of the family's 1533-position model. Lineage: Bacteria; Pseudomonadati; Pseudomonadota; Gammaproteobacteria; Oceanospirillales; Halomonadaceae. The record is from RNAcentral.
CCUACGGGAGGCUGCAGUGGGGAAUAUUGGACAAUGGGGGGAACCCUGAUCCAGCCAUGCCGCGUGUGUGAAGAAGGCCCUCGGGUUAUAAAGCACUUUCAGUGAGGAAGAACGCCUGGUGGUUAAUACCCAUCAGGAAAGACAUCACUCACAGAAGAAGCACCGGCUAACUCCGUGCCAGCAGCCGCGGUAAUACGGAGGGUGCGAGCGUUAAUCGGAAUUACUGGGCGUAAAGCGCGCGUAGGUGGCUUGAUAAGCCGGUUGUGAAAGCCCCGGGCUCAACCUGGGAACGGCAUCCGGAACUGUCGAGCUAGAGUGCAGGAGAGGAAGGUAGAAUUCCCGGUGUAGCGGUGAAAUGCGUAGAGAUCGGGAGGAAUACCAGUGGCGAAGGCGGCCUUCUGGACUGACACUGACACUGAGGUGCGAAAGCGUGGGUAGCAAACAGGAUUAGAUACCCCUGUAGUC